CUUACACAUGCAAGUCGAACGGCAGCACGGGUGCUUGCACCUGGUGGCGAGUGGCGAACGGGUGAGUAAUACAUCGGAACAUGUCCUGUAGUGGGGGAUAGCCCGGCGAAAGCCGGAUUAAUACCGCAUACGAUCUACGGAUGAAAGCGGGGGACCUUCGGGCCUCGCGCUAUAGGGUUGGCCGAUGGCUGAUUAGCUAGUUGGUGGGGUAAAGGCCUACCAAGGCGACGAUCAGUAGCUGGUCUGAGAGGACGACCAGCCACACUGGGACUGAGACACGGCCCAGACUCCUACGGGAGGCAGCAGUGGGGAAUUUUGGACAAUGGGCGAAAGCCUGAUCCAGCAAUGCCGCGUGUGUGAAGAAGGCCUUCGGGUUGUAAAGCACUUUUGUCCGGAAAGAAAUCCUUGGUUCUAAUAUAGCCGGGGGAUGACGGUACCGGAAGAAUAAGCACCGGCUAACUACGUGCCAGCAGCCGCGGUAAUACGUAGGGUGCGAGCGUUAAUCGGAAUUACUGGGCGUAAAGCGUGCGCAGGCGGUUUGCUAAGACCGAUGUGAAAUCCCCGGGCUCAACCUGGGAGCUGCAUUGGUGACUGGCAGGCUAGAGUAUGGCAGAGGGGGGUAGAAUUCCACGUGUAGCAGUGAAAUGCGUAGAGAUGUGGAGGAAUACCGAUGGCGAAGGCAGCCCCCUGGGCCAAUACUGACGCUCAUGCACGAAAGCGUGGGGAGCAAACAGGAUUAGAUAUCCUGGUAGUCCACGCCCUAAACGAUGUCAACUAGUUGUUGGGGAUUCAUUUCCUUAGUAACGUA
RNAcentral lists this ribosomal RNA (808 nucleotides) under uncultured Burkholderia sp. RNAcentral's name for it is "bacterial SSU rRNA". It matches the Rfam family "Bacterial small subunit ribosomal RNA", at positions 48 to 850 of the family's 1533-position model. Lineage: Bacteria; Pseudomonadati; Pseudomonadota; Betaproteobacteria; Burkholderiales; Burkholderiaceae. The record is from RNAcentral.